AAACUUUCAACAAUGGAUCUCUUGGUUCCGGCAUCGAUGAAGAACGCAGCGAAAUGCGAUAACUAGUGUGAAUUGCAGAAUUCCGUGAAUCAUCGAGUCUUUGAACGCACAUUGCGCCCCCUGGUAUUCGGGGGGCAUGCCUGUCCGAGCGUCAUUG
This 157-nucleotide ribosomal RNA is filed under the name Aspergillus flavus. RNAcentral describes it as "5.8S ribosomal RNA". It matches the Rfam family "5.8S ribosomal RNA". From Rfam's summary of the family: 5.8S ribosomal RNA (5.8S rRNA) is a component of the large subunit of the eukaryotic ribosome. It is transcribed by RNA polymerase I as part of the 45S precursor that also contains 18S and 28S rRNA. The record is from RNAcentral. Lineage: Eukaryota; Fungi; Ascomycota; Eurotiomycetes; Eurotiales; Aspergillaceae.